RNAcentral lists this long non-coding RNA (225 nucleotides) under Spirodela polyrhiza (greater duckweed). RNAcentral's name for it is "long non-coding RNA (SPOL_LNC001531)". Lineage: Eukaryota; Viridiplantae; Streptophyta; Magnoliopsida; Alismatales; Araceae. The record is from RNAcentral.
UCCGAUUAUCCAACCAUGAUUCCCAAUCCGAGCCACUGGCUGUCCCGGAAUAUAUAAUAUUUAUCGCAUCGGACAAAACACAUGCCUCUGGAUCGUCGUUUCCCCGCUGCGACGACUCCCCGACAUGGCCCCCACGCACAUUUGCAGUCCGCCACCCUCUCACCGGAGAAGAGGCGCUGCGGCCGCUUUCCCCUCUAGCUGACCUCGCCCCGCCGGGCCCCGCCG